CCACAGGGAAGCCACAGAGCUUCUCGAUCUGCUGCCAGCGGUGCAGCCGCUCCCUCAGGCACGCCGUCACCUCCGACAGGGCUUUCCUGAGGAACGCAGACCAAUGAGAUGGAGGCACGAUACAGACACUGUGUUUGCCAACUGUUAAACUGAAAGAGGCCGUCUGUGCUUUGAUUCGUCAGUUUGGGAUUUAAACACAAUAGAAUUCAGUGGCAGAACAGGGAUUAUAGAGGUUUGAUUACAUGAAAUAUAUCUAAUAUAAAACUUGGUCAUUGUUCUGACGGCUCAAGUAAAGAAUUUAAUCUUUGAAGAACAAAACAAACGUCUCUAUCACGUAAUCUGGUUUUUAAUGACACAAAUUCAGUUUAUUGUAAUAUUCAGCACAUUAAAUCAACAGUAGCACUAAAUAUGUGGCUGAUAAGUGCGUGAAUCCACCUUUAGUCACAUAUACAGAUAUUAUCACCUCUUUUGUUUGUUUUUCUGCAGGAUUACACAAAAACUACUGAGCUGAUUUCCUGGUGGAAGGAAAAGAAAAGUGGAUUGAACAACUGUGGGUGGAGAUCCGUGGUUCAAUAACACCCAGAGAAAGUUACCUCGUCUUUGGCGACGCACAGCUGAAGCUCCGCGUUCUGCUUCUUGAUGUUGUAGUAUUGAACCUCCACCUCGUGUGUGAGCUGCAGCCACUUCUGAAGAGCUUCUGGCACCGAGCGCUCCGAGUGCAUCUCCUUCUCCGCUCUCCUCAGGGCCUUUCGCACCUUCAGGGGAAACAGAGCACAUGUGCAGAGUUUCAGAUGACUGUGUUCUCACGCACCGGCUCUGCAGGUCUAAGAGGCUUUGCUCGGCGUGCUGCAGGCUUUCCAGAUCCUUCAUCAUCUGAGAGAUGUGCACCUUGCUGGACUUGUUUUGCACGUAGGCAAACCAGCAGCCCCCAACACCGAUCACUAUGGAAACCAUCAGGACGAAGUCUUUCAUCCAGUUAUGUUGUGGACCUGCAGCGAGAAGGAAGGGUUGGUUACAGAAAAAACACAUUUGUGAGGCUGGUAUUUGGAUUUAAUGAGUAGUGAUGGUUGUGUGUGUACUCACGGAGCGGAGGACCAAACAGCACCGCGUCGAGGGCCUUUAGGUUUAGUUUCUGUUUAUGCCGCUGGUCUAAUAUCUUCAGCUGCAUCGACAUAAACGACGGUUCAUUUGCUGCUAUUCUGAAAUAUGAAGAGAAACACGAAUCAGUACUGAAUACUGAGCAGUUAGUCACACUGGAUUUACCUUUCUACACUGAGACCUUAUCACUGACUGUUAUAUAACCCACAACAGUGAAAAGUAUUUUUAUAUAUAAUGACUUAAUAAUAUACUGUGCAUUAGUGCCAGGGUUAACAGAUGAAUAAUAUAUGAAGGGAUGUCCUCCAGGUUGUGGUGAGACCGUCACAGUUACAGAUUUAUGAGGCCAACUGCAGAUUUCCAUCAGUGGCACAAAAGUUUGCACAGCUGCAAUUCUUCAGCGUGGAUAUUUCAAUCAUUUGACUCCAGAUGUGAAUAUGCACAGCUGCAAUUUAUGUGGUUUGCAAAAGAGAGUUUACAUGUUAAACAUGAUGCAGUAGACUAGCUCUUUAGAAACUAGAUUUACACCCUGCAAGUACUUUUACUUUUAAUAGUUUAUUAAAGAAUACCCUGUUGUGAAAACUG
Molecule: long non-coding RNA, 1680 nt
Organism: Hippoglossus stenolepis (Pacific halibut)
Lineage: Eukaryota; Metazoa; Chordata; Actinopteri; Pleuronectiformes; Pleuronectidae
Exons: 3
Source: RefSeq, a predicted model, not a curated record